GGAGAGAAGCAAGUAGAAAUGCCCGCUGCUUCUCGUAUGCAUGACAUGGAAUUACUAAUGAACAACUACACAAUCCCAUUACAUUUUUCGUAACAUGAACCUCAAUUUCAGGAAAGUAGAACAGUUUUUCGGAAGCCUGGUUGUUCAAAGUGAAAGCUUCCCAUGGUUCCCAUGGAUGGCAGAGGCUCAUUUGUAGCCCUUUAGACCUCUCCAAGUUGCAUCUCGUGCAAAUUCAGCUAAACCCGUGAUCCAUGUUUUUGUUCAGCAGCCAACUAAAUAGGUGCAAAACAAACAGAGCCGAUCUCCCCAGUCCUCUCAAAUUUCUCAACUGCGACGAGGUUUGCAAUUAACUUGAAUGAAAGCAAGGCAACCGUUGGAUGGCAGCAAAUUUCGCUUUCUUUGCGCUGGCAGCUUGAAGGUGAUCAUCGAGCUAUCUUAUCAAACGCAUUUCAGCUCUAAACACGAUGAGAAGCACAUUCUUGUGAAUGAAGUUAUUGGACAGAUCAUCUACUUCUGUCUUAUGAAGAUUCCAUGAGUUUUGAAGAAUAUAAUGGACACCAAAUUUACACAGCUGAGUUCAUCUCUUGAAUUUUGAGGCCAUUCAUUUCAAUCCCAGUUAUAAGUUCCUGCAAGGUUGAGUUCAUAUGAUAUUUAACCAUAUAUC
Populus euphratica (Euphrates poplar) is the source of this 664-nucleotide long non-coding RNA. RefSeq lists it as uncharacterized. The transcript has 3 exons. The record is from RefSeq and is a predicted model, not a curated record. NCBI's taxonomy places the organism in Eukaryota, Viridiplantae, Streptophyta, Magnoliopsida, Malpighiales, Salicaceae.